This 606-nucleotide ribosomal RNA is filed under the name Escherichia coli. RNAcentral describes it as "partial 23S ribosomal RNA". It matches the Rfam family "Bacterial large subunit ribosomal RNA", at positions 612 to 1220 of the family's 2925-position model. Lineage: Bacteria; Pseudomonadati; Pseudomonadota; Gammaproteobacteria; Enterobacterales; Enterobacteriaceae. The record is from RNAcentral.
AUAAUGGGUCAGCGACUUAUAUUCUGUAGCAAGGUUAACCGAAUAGGGGAGCCGAAGGGAAACCGAGUCUUAACUGGGCGUUAAGUUGCAGGGUAUAGACCCGAAACCCGGUGAUCUAGCCAUGGGCAGGUUGAAGGUUGGGUAACACUAACUGGAGGACCGAACCGACUAAUGUUGAAAAAUUAGCGGAUGACUUGUGGCUGGGGGUGAAAGGCCAAUCAAACCGGGAGAUAGCUGGUUCUCCCCGAAAGCUAUUUAGGUAGCGCCUCGUGAAUUCAUCUCCGGGGGUAGAGCACUGUUUCGGCAAGGGGGUCAUCCCGACUUACCAACCCGAUGCAAACUGCGAAUACCGGAGAAUGUUAUCACGGGAGACACACGGCGGGUGCUAACGUCCGUCGUGAAGAGGGAAACAACCCAGACCGCCAGCUAAGGUCCCAAAGUCAUGGUUAAGUGGGAAACGAUGUGGGAAGGCCCAGACAGCCAGGAUGUUGGCUUAGAAGCAGCCAUCAUUUAAAGAAAGCGUAAUAGCUCACUGGUCGAGUCGGCCUGCGCGGAAGAUGUAACGGGGCUAAACCAUGCACCGAAGCUGCGGCAGCGACGCUUAUG